AAAAGACCAUUUUGAAGAUAAGUAUUUUUCUAACCUAUUUGAUCUAGGUGUUCGAGUUGCCCAAUACGAGUAAUUUCAGAAGAAAAGUGAGGACGAUCGGCUGCAAUGGAGCCGAUAUAAAAAUCAAAGCAAAGGUAAGGAGAAAUCCUUGCUAGAAGAACAGUCGGUUCAAGAAGAGCCGAGCCAAUCGAUUGAAAGUGAAGAAUCGGCUGAUGAAGCCGAGAUAUAGCCACUU
Molecule: long non-coding RNA, 235 nt
Filed under: Ananas comosus (pineapple)
Lineage: Eukaryota; Viridiplantae; Streptophyta; Magnoliopsida; Poales; Bromeliaceae
Description: long non-coding RNA (ACOM_LNC042354)
Source: RNAcentral